GAUGAACGCUGGCGGCGUGCCUAAUACAUGCAAGUCGAGCGAACGGACGAGAAGCUUGCUUCUCUGAUGUUAGCGGCGGACGGGUGAGUAACACGUGGAUAACCUACCUAUAAGACUGGGAUAACUUCGGGAAACCGGAGCUAAUACCGGAUAAUAUUUUGAACCGCAUGGUUCAAAAGUGAAAGACGGUCCUGCUGUCACUUAUAGAUGGAUCCGCGCUGCAUUAGCUAGUUGGUAAGGUAACGGCUUACCAAGGCAACGAUGCAUAGCCGACCUGAGAGGGUGAUCCGCCACACUGGAACUGACACACGGUACAGACUCCUACGGGAGGCAGCAGUAGGGAAUCUUCCGCAAUGGGCGAAAGCCUGACGGAGCAACGGCGCGUGAGUGAUGAAGGUCUUCGGAUCGUAAAACUCUGUUAUUAGGGAAGAACAUAUGUGUAAGUAACUGUGCACAUCUUGACGGUACCUAAUCAGAAAGCCACGGCUAACUACGU
Molecule: ribosomal RNA, 496 nt
Filed under: uncultured bacterium
Lineage: Bacteria
Description: partial 16S ribosomal RNA
Rfam family: Bacterial small subunit ribosomal RNA
Source: RNAcentral